UCUGCUAGCAGCCUUCAGAUGAAGAUGUAGAACUCUCAGCUCUGCCUGAAACAUGCUUGCCUGGAUGUCACCAUGUUCCUGCCGUGAUGAUAAUGGACUGAACCUCUGAAUCUCACUCAGGAGGCUAAACCCUACCUCAACAGCCCUAUGUGGUGAUCUGUGCCUAGAAAAGCAAUGAGUUGAAGACAGAAGUCCCGGGGCAAUUUACUCCAGCAUGAAACCUCAUCUCAAAAUAAAAACACAAAAAUAGGACGGUGGAUACAAUCAUGAAGUGCUCACCUAGCAUGGCAGAAGAGGCCGUGGGUUCAACCCCCAGUACCACAAAAAAAAAAAGGAGUCUCUUGAGAAGCACAGCUUUUCCCAAA
This is a long non-coding RNA of Mastomys coucha (southern multimammate mouse), 365 nucleotides long. RefSeq lists it as uncharacterized. The transcript has 2 exons. The record is from RefSeq and is a predicted model, not a curated record. Lineage: Eukaryota; Metazoa; Chordata; Mammalia; Rodentia; Muridae.